Molecule: regulatory RNA element, 46 nt
Organism: Loxodonta africana (African savanna elephant)
Lineage: Eukaryota; Metazoa; Chordata; Mammalia; Proboscidea; Elephantidae
Rfam family: Histone 3' UTR stem-loop
About the family: The mRNAs of metazoan histone genes lack a poly-A tail. 3' end processing occurs at a site between a highly conserved stem-loop (modelled by this family) and a purine rich region around 20 nts downstream (the histone downstream element, or HDE). The stem-loop is bound by a 31 kDa stem-loop binding protein (SLBP - also termed the histone hairpin binding protein, or HBP).
Source: Rfam
UCAAAGGCUCUUUUCAGAGCCACCUACUUUCUCGGAAGAGAGCUGU